This 292-nucleotide ribosomal RNA is filed under the name uncultured bacterium. RNAcentral's name for it is "partial 16S ribosomal RNA". It matches the Rfam family "Archaeal small subunit ribosomal RNA", at positions 455 to 747 of the family's 1478-position model. The record is from RNAcentral.
GUGCAGCCGCCGCGGUAAUACCGGCAGCCCAAGUGAUGGCCGCUGUUAUUGGGCCUAAAGCGUCCGUAGCUGGCCGCACGAGUCCGUCGGGAAAUCCGCCCGCUCAACGGGCGGCCGUCCGGCGGAACCUGUGUGGCUUGGGACCGGGAGGCCUGAGGGGUACGAUCGGGGUAGGAGUGAAAUCCCAUAAUCCCGCACGGACCACCGAUGGCGAAAGCACUUCGAGAAAACGGAUCCGACAGUGAGGGACGAAAGCCAGGGUCUCCAACCGGAUUAGAUACCCGAGUAGUCC